Non-coding RNA from Microcebus murinus (gray mouse lemur), 1212 nucleotides. The record is from RefSeq and is a predicted model, not a curated record. Lineage: Eukaryota; Metazoa; Chordata; Mammalia; Primates; Cheirogaleidae.
GGCGCCCGUGCUGCAGUGGUGGCGAGCAGGACACUAGCUCUGUCCUCAGCUGGGGCCACUGGGCCACUGGCUCAGCCUGAUCACAAAACAGCAAAGGAUCAAGGAACAUUGGAAGGUUAGAAACAGGCUCUGGUUUCUGUGUUACCUUUUUCCCCAAAUUAUUUUUUACUGUGGUAAAAGCUGUACAACAUAAACUUUACCAUCUGAACCACGUCCAAGUGUCCGGUUCAGUGGUGUCAAGUUCAUUCCCACUGUCGUCCACCCAAUUCCCAGAACUCUUUCACCUUGUGAAACUGGAACUCUGUGCCCAUUAGACGACUGCCCCAGCCGCUGGCCGCCGCCCUUCCACUUUCCGUUUCUACGAAUUUGACGACUCUAGGUGGAAUCGUGCAAUAUUGGUUUCUGUGUUCCUUUGGAAAGUCUGGGCUUUUGGGGAGCUUCACGGUGGCCGUCAGUGCGUACGCCGUCCUCCUGCGUCUCCAGCUGCUGCUUCUCUGUCUCCCUGGGGUGUCCUGCCUGUGUCGGCCCCCAGGUGCCGCCUCUCCCUCCUCCGUGCUUGGCCAGCGUAGCCUUCCCUUCCACACUCUUCCUGGGCGCUCCCCCCCAGCCAGGGCUUCUGUCACCUCUAAUAGGUGAUGGCCCCUUGGUGGCCUUAAGGCUUCAUCCUCCCCCAGGCCUUUGCCCUGCAGCCCCUGCCCAGCGGCUCCCUGUCCUGGCUCCCUGUCCCAGCUCCCCGUCCCGGCUCACUCCUGCGCAUCCCUCGGGCACAGCCUUCCUGACAGACACCAGAGAGCUCCUGGCCUGUUUCCUUGCCUGUGUCCCCGCUAGGGUGUGAGCUGUCCAAGGCUGAGUCUCCUUCCUCCUGACAUCCCAGCCUCGCAGACAUCAGGAGCUCAGGAAAUAUUUGGCAAAUGAGUGGAUAAAGGAAUCUUACAACACAGCUCAGUGGAAAAGUACAACCAGGAGAAAGGGUUCCAGGUGAAGAUGGAAAAGGAAGAAGCGAGGGGAUGGGAGGAGUGCUCAGAUGCUAAUUACCAGCGCUUCCCUCAGACAAAUUAUAAACAGGCAGUUAAAGAAUGCUCCCGCUGCACCAACGAAGCAGAGCAGCCUUUAAACACUCUGGAUGUCAACAUGCCCUAAUUUCAAAAGCACUAGAGCUGUGUAUAGCCCCAAAGAUAAUUUUUUUUCUCCAAGGAAUGAUUCAAUAGAGUU